AACGAACGCUGGCGGCAGGCCUAUACACAUGCAAGUCGAGCGCGCCUUCGGGUGAGCGGCGGACGGGUUAGUAACGCGUGGGAACGUGCCCUUCUCUACGGAAUAGCCUCUGGAAACGGAGAGUAAUACCGUAUACGCCCUUUGGGGGAAAGAUUUAUCGGAGAAGGAUCGGCCCGCGUUAGAUUAGGUAGUUGGUGGGGUAACGGCCUACCAAGCCUACGAUCUAUAGCUGGUUUUAGAGGAUGAUCAGCAACACUGGGACUGAGACACGGCCCAGACUCCUACGGGAGGCAGCAGUGGGGAAUCUUAGACAAUGGGGGCAACCCUGAUCUAGCCAUGCCGCGUGAGUGAUGAAGGCCUUAGGGUCGUAAAGCUCUUUCGCCUGUGAUGAUAAUGACAGUAGCAGGUAAAGAAACCCCGGCUAACUCCGUG
This 432-nucleotide ribosomal RNA is filed under the name uncultured bacterium. Its description in RNAcentral is "bacterial SSU rRNA". It matches the Rfam family "Bacterial small subunit ribosomal RNA", at positions 29 to 507 of the family's 1533-position model. The record is from RNAcentral.